Molecule: ribosomal RNA, 257 nt
Filed under: uncultured bacterium
Lineage: Bacteria
Description: partial 16S ribosomal RNA
Rfam family: Bacterial small subunit ribosomal RNA
Source: RNAcentral
UACGUAGGGUGCGAGCGUUGUCCGGAAUUAUUGGGCGUAAAGGGCUCGUAGGCGGUUUUGUUGCGUCGGGAGUGAAAAACACCGGGGCUUAACUCGGUGCUUGCUUCCGAUACGGGCAGACUAGAGGCAUGCAGGGGAGAACGGAAUUCCUGGUGUAGCGGUGAAAUGCGCAGAUAUCAGGAGGAACACCCGGUGGCGAAGGCGGUUCUCUGGGCAUGUCCUGACGCUGAGGAGCGAAAGUGUGGGGAGCGAACAGG